RNAcentral lists this ribosomal RNA (461 nucleotides) under uncultured bacterium. RNAcentral describes it as "bacterial SSU rRNA". It matches the Rfam family "Bacterial small subunit ribosomal RNA", at positions 338 to 795 of the family's 1533-position model. The record is from RNAcentral.
CCUACGGGUGGCAGCAGUAAGGAAUAUUGGUCAAUGGACGCAAGUCUGAACCAGCCAUGCCGCGUGAAGGAUGACAGCCCUACGGGUUGUAAACUUCUUUUGUACGGGAAAAAACCUCCGGUCGUGAAUCGGAGCUGAUGGUACCGUAAGAAUAAGCAUCGGCUAACUCCGUGCCAGCAGCCGCGGUAAUACGGAGGAUGCAAGCGUUAUCCGGAUUCAUUGGGUUUAAAGGGUGCGCAGGCGGAAUGGUAAGUCAGUGGUGAAAUCCUACGGCUUAACUGUAGAAUUGCCAUUGAUACUGUCAUUCUUGAGUAUAGUUGAAGUGGGCGGAAUGUGUCAUGUAGCGGUGAAAUGCUUAGAUAUGACACAGAACACCGAUCGCGAAGGCAGCUCGCUAAACUAUCACUGACGCUCAUGCACGAAAGCGUGGGGAUCAAACAGGAUUAGAUACCCUUGUAGUC